This 75-nucleotide transfer RNA is filed under the name Azobacteroides pseudotrichonymphae (SeqCode). RNAcentral describes it as "tRNA-Ile". It matches the Rfam family "tRNA". Rfam says of the family: Transfer RNA (tRNA) molecules are approximately 80 nucleotides in length. Their secondary structure includes four short double-helical elements and three loops (D, anti-codon, and T loops). Further hydrogen bonds mediate the characteristic L-shaped molecular structure. tRNAs have two regions of fundamental functional importance: the anti-codon, which is responsible for specific mRNA codon recognition, and the 3' end, to which the tRNAs corresponding amino acid is attached (by aminoacyl-tRNA synthetases). tRNAs cope with the degeneracy of the genetic code in two manners: having more than one tRNA (with a specific anti-codon) for a particular amino acid; and 'wobble' base-pairing, i.e. permitting non-standard base-pairing at the 3rd anti-codon position. The record is from RNAcentral. Lineage: Bacteria; Pseudomonadati; Bacteroidota; Bacteroidia; Bacteroidales.
AGUCCUAUAGCUCAGUCGGUUAGAGCACUUCUCUGAUAAGGAAGGGGUCGGCAGUUCAACUCUGUCUGGGACUAC